GUAUGAUUGCUGAUUAGACAACUAUUCACCAAAGUGUAAAUGGAAGUGGAUGUAAUAAAUUUUGUAAAGUUCAAAUGAAGUGGAUAUAUAUAAAAAAGAAGAUGUGGUAUGAUUGCCAAUGAGACAACUAUCCACAAAAGACCAAAAUGACACAAACAUUAACAACUGUAGGUCACCAUACGGCCUUCAACAAUGAGCAAAGCCCAUACCGCAUAGUCAGCUAUAAAAGGCCUCGAUAAGACAAUGUAAAACAAUUCAAACG
This 262-nucleotide long non-coding RNA is filed under the name Mytilus galloprovincialis (Mediterranean mussel). Lineage: Eukaryota; Metazoa; Mollusca; Bivalvia; Mytilida; Mytilidae. The record is from RNAcentral.